ACUUAAAUUGAAGAGUUUGAUCAUGGCUCAGAUUGAACGCUGGCGGCAGGCCUAACACAUGCAAGUCGAGCGGUAGCACAGAGAGCUUGCUCUCGGGUGACGAGCGGCGGACGGGUGAGUAAUGUCUGGGAAACUGCCUGAUGGAGGGGGAUAACUACUGGAAACGGUAGCUAAUACCGCAUAAUGUCGCAAGACCAAAGUGGGGGACCUUCGGGCCUCAUGCCAUCAGAUGUGCCCAGAUGGGAUUAGCUAGUAGGUGGGGUAACGGCUCACCUAGGCGACGAUCCCUAGCUGGUCUGAGAGGAUGACCAGCCACACUGGAACUGAGACACGGUCCAGACUCCUACGGGAGGCAGCAGUGGGGAAUAUUGCACAAUGGGCGCAAGCCUGAUGCAGCCAUGCCGCGUGUGUGAAGAAGGCCUUCGGGUUGUAAAGCACUUUCAGCGGGGAGGAAGGCGAUAAGGUUAAUAACCUUG
Molecule: ribosomal RNA, 476 nt
Filed under: Klebsiella pneumoniae
Lineage: Bacteria; Pseudomonadati; Pseudomonadota; Gammaproteobacteria; Enterobacterales; Enterobacteriaceae
Description: bacterial SSU rRNA
Rfam family: Bacterial small subunit ribosomal RNA
Source: RNAcentral